CCUACGGGAGGCAGCAGUGGGGAAUAUUGCACAAUGGGGGAAACCCUGAUGCAGCGACGCCGCGUGAGUGAAGAAGUAAUUCGUUAUGUAAAGCUCUAUCAGCAGGGAAGAAAAUGACGGUACUUGAGUAAUAAGCCCCGGCUAACUACGUGCCAGCAGCCGCGGUAAUACUUAGGGGGCAAGCGUUAUCCGGAUUUACUGGGUGGAAAGUGAGCGUAGACGGCAUGGCAAGUCUGGAGUGAAAGGCGUGGGCUCAACCCGCGGACUGCUCGGGAUACUGUACGGCUGGAGUGCAGGAGAGGUAAGUAGAAUUCCUGGUGUAGCGGUGAAAUGCGUAGAUAUCAGGAGGAACACCAGUGGCGAAGGCGGCUUACUGGACUGUAACUGACGUUGAGGCGCGAAAGCGUGGGGAGCAAACAGGAUUAGAUACCCUUGUAGUC
This 440-nucleotide ribosomal RNA is filed under the name uncultured bacterium. Its description in RNAcentral is "partial 16S ribosomal RNA". It matches the Rfam family "Bacterial small subunit ribosomal RNA", at positions 338 to 795 of the family's 1533-position model. The record is from RNAcentral.